UCCAUUUGUCAUUCAAAAGUAGAUUAGUGAGAGACGGCGGGGCGCUGAGAAGCGGCCAGCAAUGCAGAGAGAAACGGCGCUGCGGAUUCUGUGGAGUCCUGCCGGCUGUGCCCUCACUGAGCUCCGGGCUGAGUUCAGGGUUUGAGAAGGGGAAGGAAGCGGUCCAGUUCUGUCCCCCACACGGGACAGUCCACCAUGGAAGCCAGCCGCCACCAUCUUGGAGAGCUGACUUCACCAUCGCCAGUUUCCGACAGAUCGCAGCAAUAGAACAGGUGUGUGUUAUUCAGCCCAUCUCCCAUACAGUGGGGAAUUCGCAUAAAAUCUCUCCCCGGCUUUCCGGGGGAGGGAUUAUCAGAUUGACUGGGAAUAGAGACGUGGGGAAAGGUAAAGGCACCUGACCUCCAACUCCCCCUCCCAUCAGCGGCAAAAACGAAACCUGUCUUGCCAGCUCUGGGGGAGUGGCAAGCGGAAGGAAUCAACACAAUAAGUUGCCGGUUCCCAAUUGCCACACUCCACACCCAGCAAACUGCAGGCCCAGAGUAUAGUUUGAACUGCUGAGAGGCAUCACACUGUGGAAGGCCUGGCUAGCAGGAGAAGCCAGGGGACUAGAGGCCAGGAAUAAACCUAAGCUAAUAGGUUUUUAAGAGACAAGGGGGGGGGGGAGUGGCCUCACACAGACUGUAUCCUACAGCCAGAGGGCAAAAUCUUGGCCCAGAAGGCACAGAACCA
Molecule: long non-coding RNA, 729 nt
Filed under: Marmota monax (woodchuck)
Lineage: Eukaryota; Metazoa; Chordata; Mammalia; Rodentia; Sciuridae
Source: RNAcentral